UCUUAAUUUUAUGCUCGUGACUUCAUUUUACAAGAUCAGAAGAACUUAUAGUCAAUAUUGGCAAGGAAAUAGAUCAGAAUAAUAAGAAUUGGGUUCUCAAUAAGGCACAACGUGAUGGGUUUAGCAUUUGAAAUUUCAUUAAUCUUUUGGAUUGCGGUUUGUUUUUCCUUCACCACAUGCAUCAAUGGCGAUUCUUAUGUUUGCAAAAAAGUGAGGUGUGGAUGUGAAUUUAGUACUAAAAAUGGAACAUAUAAAAUUUCAAUGGACAAAAUCAGCAAGAAAGGAACUUAUUUCAUAGAAGUGAAAUCUGCCUACUGGACCUACUUUGUUGAUCCAUGUUAUGGGUUCACAAUAAACAUUAAUUGCACCGGCGUCAGAGUAAGUAUAUUUUCACGUUUAGAGGUAUUUUUCCUAUAUAUUCCGUUAGUCUGUGAACGUUAGCUAUCAUUUUUUGCGCGGGGCAUAAACAUAUGUCGAAGAAGCGGUUCUGAAAAGUAGGAGAUAAAUCCUAUCAUUAUAUAGCAAGUUUAAAUGUUUGAGUCUGAUUGGUUAAAACUACGUCACGUUGUUUUUCAGGUUUGAACCAGGGGUUUAAUGAAAGCGGAAGUCGUUAUUUUUUGUCAUAUCACGCGACUUAAACCUCAUGCAGUUUCA
Dendronephthya gigantea is the source of this 654-nucleotide long non-coding RNA. RefSeq lists it as uncharacterized. The transcript is spliced from 3 exons. Lineage: Eukaryota; Metazoa; Cnidaria; Anthozoa; Malacalcyonacea; Nephtheidae. The record is from RefSeq and is a predicted model, not a curated record.